This 394-nucleotide ribosomal RNA is filed under the name Burkholderiaceae bacterium. RNAcentral's name for it is "bacterial SSU rRNA". It matches the Rfam family "Bacterial small subunit ribosomal RNA", at positions 1 to 395 of the family's 1533-position model. The record is from RNAcentral. Lineage: Bacteria; Pseudomonadati; Pseudomonadota; Betaproteobacteria; Burkholderiales; Burkholderiaceae.
GAACUAUAGAGUUUGAUCCUGGCUCAGAUUGAACGCUGGCGGCAUGCCUUACACAUGCAAGUCGAACGGCAGCGCGGGAGCAAUCCUGGCGGCGAGUGGCGAACGGGUGAGUAAGACAUCGGAACGUGCCCAAUCGUGGGGGAUAACGCAGCGAAAGUUGUGCUAAUACCGCAUACGAUCUAUGGAUGAAAGCAGGGGAUUCGCAAGAACCUUGCGCGAAUGGAGCGGCCGAUGGCAGAUUAGGUAGUUGGUGGGGUAAAGGCUCACCAAGCCAACGAUCUGUAGCUGGUCUGAGAGGACGACCAGCCACACUGGGACUGAGACACGGCCCAGACUCCUACGGGAGGCAGCAGUGGGGAAUUUUGGACAAUGGGCGCAAGCCUGAUCCAGCCAU